RNAcentral lists this ribosomal RNA (554 nucleotides) under Cercomonadida sp. COHH 36. RNAcentral describes it as "bacterial SSU rRNA". It matches the Rfam family "Eukaryotic small subunit ribosomal RNA", at positions 1 to 549 of the family's 1831-position model. Lineage: Eukaryota; Cercozoa; Cercomonadida. The record is from RNAcentral.
AACCUGGUUGAUCCUGCCAGUAGUCAUAUGCUUGUCUCAAAGAUUAAGCCAUGCAUGUCUAAGUAUAAAUACCUUAUACUGUUUUAACUGCGUACAGCUCAUUAUAUCAGCUAUUAUUCAUUUGACGGUCACCUCCUACAUGGAUAUCCGUUGGGAAACCAGAGCUAAUACAUGCGUAAAGUCCUGAGUCUUCGGAUAAGGGAUGUAUUUAUUAGAUUAAAAACUAGUUCCUGUUCUGCAGGAUUUAUGUUGAAUCAUAAUAACUGUUCGAAUCCCAGUAGCCAUUGGCGGGGAUAGUUCAUUCAGAUUUCUGCCCUAUCAGCUAUCGACGGUAGUGUAGUGGACUACCGUGGCGUUAACGGGUAACGGGGAAUUAGGGUUCGAUUCCGGAGAGGAAGCCUGAGAAACGGCUACCACACCUACGGGUGGCAGCAGGCGCGCAAACUACCCAAUCCUGAUACAGGGAGGUGGUGACAAGAAAUACCGACGUCCGUUCGUUUUACGAACGGUGAGCGGAAUAAGAACAAUCUAGUAGAUCCUUACCGAAUUCCACU